AUUCCAAAGUGUCCUAUGUAUUUUGUCAUAGGGUAUGAUUCAAGGUUACAUGUACAUCUAUAUUUGUUUGAUGGGUAUGUCAUAUAAGCAUGGCCACAGUAGAUUAUGAAUGACGGCACUGUGCAUGUUUAUGUACGUAAUCAGUAUGUCCAUAAUAAUGAUUAUUAGAAAUAUUGAAAGAAACUAAAGGGAAUAAGCAUUUAUGUCUUGUCAAACACUUGGCAUUACUAAUGUAUUUU
This 239-nucleotide long non-coding RNA is filed under the name Amphimedon queenslandica. RNAcentral describes it as "uncharacterized LOC109580774, transcript variant X2". The record is from RNAcentral. Lineage: Eukaryota; Metazoa; Porifera; Demospongiae; Haplosclerida; Niphatidae.